UACGAAGGGGGCUAGCGUUGUUCGGAUUUACUGGGCGUAAAGCGCACGAGGCGGAUUCUUAAGUCAGGGGGUGAAAUCCCCGAGGCUCAACCUCGGAACUGCCCUUUGAUACUGGGGGAUCUCGAGUCGGGGAGAGGGUGAGUGGGAACUGCGAGUGUAGAGGUGAAAUCGUAGAUAUCGCAAGACACCAGUGGCGAAGGCGGCUCACUGGCCCGAUCUGCGCUGAGGACGAAAGCG
This 237-nucleotide ribosomal RNA is filed under the name uncultured bacterium. RNAcentral's name for it is "partial 16S ribosomal RNA". It matches the Rfam family "Bacterial small subunit ribosomal RNA", at positions 524 to 761 of the family's 1533-position model. The record is from RNAcentral.